AAAGUUAUUUCUAUAUUGUUAAUAAAAAAUUUCUGUUCUUAUCAGCUUAAUAUCUGAUAUGUUAGGCAAUGCCUAACUCAUAUAUUAAACUGAUUUUUGGACUUCGGCCAUGGGAUUGAAGCUUGCUUCGCCCUGGCCACGGGUUGUCUCGGUAUUGCACUACAUCCGAGUACGGCCCCUUCCCC
This 185-nucleotide small nuclear RNA is filed under the name Paramuricea clavata. RNAcentral's name for it is "U2 spliceosomal RNA". It matches the Rfam family "U2 spliceosomal RNA". From Rfam's summary of the family: U2 is a small nuclear RNA (snRNA) component of the spliceosome (involved in pre-mRNA splicing). Complementary binding between U2 snRNA (in an area lying towards the 5' end but 3' to hairpin I) and the branchpoint sequence (BPS) of the intron results the bulging out of an unpaired adenosine, on the BPS, which initiates a nucleophilic attack at the intronic 5' splice site, thus starting the first of two transesterification reactions that mediate splicing. The record is from Rfam by way of RNAcentral. Lineage: Eukaryota; Metazoa; Cnidaria; Anthozoa; Malacalcyonacea; Plexauridae.